This 243-nucleotide unclassified non-coding RNA is filed under the name fungal sp. RNAcentral describes it as "partial internal transcribed spacer region". The stretch from base 1 to 46 matches the Rfam family "Eukaryotic small subunit ribosomal RNA", at positions 1786 to 1831 of the family's 1831-position model. The record is from RNAcentral. Lineage: Eukaryota; Fungi.
AAGUCGUAACAAGGUUUCCGUAGGUGAACCUGCGGAAGGAUCAUUACCGAGUUCGGGGUUUCCCCCAACUCCCACCCUUGUUUACCUCAACGUUGCUUCGGCGAGACGUUGGAAGCAGCCAUCGGCAAUUUGUGACCAAUGCCCCGAUGCGUGCUCGCCGGACUCCAAAUACUCUUAGACUAUGUACAGUCAGAUGAAACAAGCAAUAUAUAAAAACUUUCAACAACGGAUCUCUUGGCUCUC